Molecule: non-coding RNA, 254 nt
Filed under: unclassified sequences
Description: raiA RNA
Rfam family: raiA RNA
Source: Rfam by way of RNAcentral
CUCUUCCAGGUCUGUGGUUGCGGAGGCACCGAUCUGCCUCCUAGUCCAUGACAGACGAGGUCAAAGGGAUCCACGUAAGCCAGCGUGUGGGCAUGCUGGCGAUCAUGGCUCGUCCUGAAGCAAGUCGCACUGCCUGAUCGGCUUUGGGGCAAAGAGCCCCACAGGCAAGAGGGCUUUGAUGGGGGUGCCUGAGCAUCCGAAGCGGAGGCCCCGGUGCGCGGGUGUGGGGCCAAAGACCAGGUCAGCUGGAAGAG